This 459-nucleotide ribosomal RNA is filed under the name uncultured bacterium. Its description in RNAcentral is "partial 16S ribosomal RNA". It matches the Rfam family "Bacterial small subunit ribosomal RNA", at positions 338 to 795 of the family's 1533-position model. The record is from RNAcentral.
CCUACGGGGGGCAGCGGGGAGGAAUAUUGGUCAAUGGCCGAGAGGCUGAACCGGCCAAGUCGCGGGAGGGAAGACGGCCCUACGGGUUGUAAACCUCUUUUGUCGGGGAGCAAAGCGAACCACGUGUGGUUCAUGGAGAGUACCCGAGGAAAAAGCAUCGGCUAACUCCGUGCAAGCAGCGGCGGUAAUACGGAGGAUGCGAGCGUUAUCCGGAUUUAUUGGGUUUAAAGGGUGCGCAGGCGGAGGUGCAAGUCAGCGGUCAAAUUGCGGGGCUCAACCCCGUACUGCCGUUGAAACUGCAUCCCUUGAGUGCGCGAGAAGUAUGCGGAAUGCGUGGUGUAGCGGUGAAAUGCAUAGAUAUCACGCAGAACUCCGAUUGCGAAGGCAGCAUACCGGCGCGCAACUGACGCUCAUGCACGAAAGCGUGGGUAUCGAACAGGAUUAGAUACCCGGGUAGUC